GAUGAAGAUGUUAGAGAGCAUAUAGUGUUUGCGAUUGAAUAUGGGAAAUGACUCCACGAACCCUAAGCGGGUACCCCUCAAUCCCAACAGGGCUCAACUGCAACAAAAACUGAAAAGCGACGCGCCAAAGCCAUUUAAACCUUCAGUUGAUUCGGACAGACAAACCCAAGAAAGCGUAUUAGGGAAACGUAAAGAGAGAGAGGAUGCCGAACCCACUUCUCAGAAGUCUAUUCUCACUCCAGUCACGAAUGAUUGCAGGUGCUUCUCCAUUACUAUGUCUAUUCUUCUUCGUUUCUUUCUCAUGAAGAUACUGUUCUUCCCCUUAAAG
Molecule: long non-coding RNA, 328 nt
Organism: Telopea speciosissima
Lineage: Eukaryota; Viridiplantae; Streptophyta; Magnoliopsida; Proteales; Proteaceae
Exons: 3
Source: RefSeq, a predicted model, not a curated record